RNAcentral lists this ribosomal RNA (253 nucleotides) under uncultured bacterium. RNAcentral's name for it is "partial 16S ribosomal RNA". It matches the Rfam family "Bacterial small subunit ribosomal RNA", at positions 524 to 776 of the family's 1533-position model. The record is from RNAcentral.
UACGUAGGGUGCGAGCGUUGUCCGGAAUUAUUGGGCGUAAAGAGCUUGUAGGCGGUUUGUCGCGUCUGCUGUGAAAAUCCGGGGCUCAACCCCGGACUUGCAGUGGGUACGGGCAGACUAGAGUGUGGUAGGGGAGACUGGAAUUCCUGGUGUAGCGGUGGAAUGCGCAGAUAUCAGGAGGAACACCGAUGGCGAAGGCAGGUCUCUGGGCCACUACUGACGCUGAGAAGCGAAAGCAUGGGGAUCAAACAGG